AGUGAACGCUGGCGGUAGGCCUAACACAUGCAAGUCGAACGGCAGCACAGUAAGAGCUUGCUCUUACGGGUGGCGAGUGGCGGACGGGUGAGGAAUACAUCGGAAUCUACUUUUUCGUGGGGGAUAACGUAGGGAAACUUACGCUAAUACCGCAUACGACCUACGGGUGAAAGCAGGGGAUCUUCGGACCUUGCGCGAUUGAAUGAGCCGAUGUCGGAUUAGCUAGUUGGCGGGGUAAAGGCCCACCAAGGCGACGAUCCGUAGCUGGCCUGAGAGGAUGAUCAGCCACACUGGAACUGAGACACGGUCCAGACUCCUACGGGAGGCAGCAGUAGGGAAUAUUGGACAAUGGGCGAAAGCCUGAUCCAGCCAUACCGCGUGGGUGAAGAAGGUCUUCGGGUUGUAAAGCCCUGUUGUUGGGAAAGAACAGCAGUAUGUUAAUCCCCGGCUGUUCUGACGGUACCUAAAGAAUAAGCACCGGCUAACUUCGUG
Molecule: ribosomal RNA, 492 nt
Filed under: uncultured bacterium
Lineage: Bacteria
Description: partial 16S ribosomal RNA
Rfam family: Bacterial small subunit ribosomal RNA
Source: RNAcentral